This is a non-coding RNA of Rattus norvegicus (Norway rat), 9788 nucleotides long. The record is from RefSeq and is a predicted model, not a curated record. NCBI's taxonomy places the organism in Eukaryota, Metazoa, Chordata, Mammalia, Rodentia, Muridae.
AUUUAUUGAUACAUUUCUGGUAUUGGGUCCCGAACUUGGCCAAAACCUCACUAGUUAAAGCUGAGGUGGUGGAGAUGACUUACUAUAACGACUGCUCACGGUUUUUAGUACCUGAGUUUUCCAUCUACCUGAAUGGGGAGCAGUUGUGGUAUGGACCGUGCCUAUGGAGGAGGGGUGGGACUCUCUAAGGUUCAAUCCCUUUCCCUCCCCAGUGUGAGGUCACAGGGCUGAGGGUCACAUUCUAGGAGUGGCUGGAGGAGGCCUCUGUCUCAGGUAAUUUCAUGGAGCUUCCAGAGCAGAACCUUCCUCUUUAUCUCAUGUCUAUACAAGAAAGCUGAGGGGACUGUAGCCCACCCAAGCAUGACAGAUGUGGCUUUGGCAGGCCUGGUCCUUCCCCUGUUUCCUCUGCCUUGCUAAAAACUCUUCAGGUUACGGUCCUAAAGCUAGCCACAAAGUCUGUUCCCUCCUUUGGCCACUUCCUCCCUCCUGAGACUGACUGACAAGGUCCAGCUAUCAAAAUACUGAAAUCUAGCAACCGAAAGGCCUCUUUUGCUCAUCUACUUAAUAACGUGCCCAAACCAACUCAUUCUAACAUGGGGUUCUCCCUUUUCCCUUUACAAACUGCCACUUUCCUAUGGGCCACAUCUGUCUCUCCCCUAUCCAGAGGCAGUCAUUUGUCUUUCUCACUUCCUUCCUCUCCCUUGUUCCCUUCCCCUUCUCCCUCAUCUAUCUCCUGUCUUUGUCUCUGAGUCCUUGCCCUUUAUCCCUCUGGGGCAAAUAAAUUUUUGUGAUGAGACCUUGGUUUUGGGGUGCCUUGUGCUGGUUCUAACCAGUCCUUUCAAAGACAGUGUCUUGAGUCCCUUGCUCAUCACUAAUCUUAACUCUGACUGGGUAGAUGUUUAAUGUCUUGUAAAAAUCUAAAUGUUUCGGUUUUGCUUGAUGACCAAGGUUAGCUCACAUGUGUUCUUCUGAAUGUGAUCUUUAAGAGUUGGGCAAUACGGGUGCCUGGAAGGACCCCUAAGUUCACAGAGUCUUAAAUUAGUGAUUGGCUAAGGUAACAUGAUGGCUAGAGAAAGAUGGAUGCUGGGCUCUGCUCCCCAUCCCUGCUCACAGCAAGCGGGGACUUCAUUCCGGGCUUUACUGAGACCUCAGCCGAAAGCUUAUACGUGUUCAUCGGAUCAAAUGUGAGUGUGGGGGGAACCACGAGUCAGAAGGUCCGGGCAGAGAUGCGAACAGACACAGUACAGGAAGGUGACUCCCAGAGCAGUGUGUAUAGUAAGAAAUGGGGUGUGUGAGAAGACACAGGCAUCGGUAUUCAGACUUCCAUUGUGAUGUGUAGAGUCAUUUUUUCCAGUGAGCAGCGUUAGAGCGACGUCAUAAUCAACACGCGGAUAGCUACGUGUCUCACACUGCUGGCUACCACACUUGUAGAAGCCACAAGGUCCCAGCGCAGGACAGGCGCUCCACACCACAGAGGCCCGCAGUGUACUCCAGCUGCUCUGGCUGCUUUUCAGAGUAUUCCUCCAUCCAAUCAGAAAGCCGUUGGUCUCUCUCAGAAGAGUCAGGCCAUCAUUGCACCAGUGGGCCCACCUUGCCUGGAAAAUUGGACUCUAGCAGCUAAGAUCUAUAGUCUUCUAACGAUUGGUACUGCAGCUCAGCUAUACAUGAUGAUCAACUUUAGCAAAAGUUUCCCCGUUAUGUCCAUGAAGAUUAACAGAUGAGCCUGAACAAACUUGGGCAUUGAGUCUGCCUGCUGAGGGGACCAAGGGUGUGGACUGCUCAAGUUCCUGCUCACUGAUGUGAUGGCAUUUGGAAUUGUGUCAAGCUGAUGAAACCAACCAUCCAUCCAUCCAUCCAUCCAUCCAUCCAUCCAACCAACCAACCAACCAACCAACCAACUAACCAACCAACUAACCAACCAACCAACCAACUAACCAACCAAUCUAUCUUCCUGGAGAAACUGUGAUGGUUUGAAUUAUGCUUGACCCAGGUAGUGGCACUAUUAGGGGGUGUGGCCUUGUUGGAGGAAGUGUGUCACCGUGUGGGUAGGCAAUGAGACCCUCCUCCCAGCCAUGUGGGAACCUAGUAUUCUCUUAGUGGCCUUCAGAUGAAGAUGUAGAACUCUCAGCUCCUCCUGCACCAUGCCUGCCUGGAUGCUGCCAUGCUCUUGCCUUGAUAAUGGACUGAACCUCUGAACCUGUAAGCCAGCCCCAAUUAAAUAUUGUCCUUAUAAGAGUUGUCUUGGUCAUGGUGUCUGUUCACAGCAGUAAAACCCUAAGUAAGACACUGUCCAAUCCCACAAAACAAGGUCCCGAAUCCAACUAGGACAUGUAGCUUGUAGAACUCACUUUAGUUAACCAGCAAGGAAUUUUGUAUCAGGGAUUAUAGUAUAUUUUCAUAGUCCCAGCCCUCAGAAGACAGAGACAGAGAGAUUACUGCAAGUUUGAGGCCAGCUAGGGCUACAUGGUGUAACCCUCUUUCAAAACAUAAAAAUAAGAAACAAAACUUAGCUGGUCAUGGCUGCAGAUGCUUUUAAUCUUAGUAUUCGGCAGGUGGAGGCAGGUGGAUCUCUAUGAGUUUGAGUCUGCAUAGUGAGUUUCAGGACAGUAUAAUAAAGAGACCCUUGUCUCAAAACACAAAAGAAACCAACCAGCCACUACCAAUGAAAAGCUACUAUAGCAACAACAACAACAACAAAAAUGGUCUUGGAUACUUAAUUCCGGGCUAGUUCGUGCCUGUUUCAAUUUUAAGUGAAUAAGUUGUGCUUCCCACCUACUGGCUCACACAGGGUUUCAACCCACAAAGGGCAGAACAGCCAUAUAAGCAGGGUGUGACCUGUUACUUGGCCUGUGUCUCAGUUCCACCACAGGAGAGUGACAUUUACUCAGCUCCACCCCCACCCUGCUGAGGCAGCAGUACUCCACACUGCUGACAGGAAGAGCAGGUACAGUAUUAAAGCAGGGCCUGGCUUGUGGAAAGUUCUUGGUUAAGGUGAGCUGUGCUUACCCACAGGACUGUAAAACUGAGGCCAAGAAAAGUCAGUUUCCUUACCCAGGGCCAACCCACUGCAAAGCAGAGCUGAGUUGCAAAGCCAAGCCAAAGUGGCUAAGGGCAGUGCCAGAUGCUGGCCCACUCCAUCAUCGCCAUGGGCCAUGCUGCAGUCACGGGGUCACUGACAGCCUGACGGCCCUUGGGCAGUUCUUGCCUUUCACGUGUUCUUGGCUUUGGAGAGAGGCUGGUGCCCAGCCGCUCACCCUAGCUAACCAGUGCCCAUGAACCAUCAGGUCCUUGAUCAGUUUUGUUUCCUUUGUUCUCAGUGAUCCAUCACCCAGGCACAGGUCUUGCCCUGGGGGGGGGGGGGUGAGCUCACCAAUAAAACCGGCAAAGCUUGCUACUCGAAGAACAAUAAACGCCAUGUCUGCAGAGGGAAAAGGUGGGACCUCUACAGGUAUGGGCAAAGGUACGGGAAUAAAGAAAGUCAUUUGGGCUUGCUUCCAAAACAACCCAAACACACAGGCAUUAACUUAUUUUUAGACUUUGAAUUGUUCGAGAGCAACACUCCAUUUUGCACAGUGUCUAUUGUUCAGGUUUAACUGAUGUUCAUAAGAAAAUAUUUUUGAAAUACCACAAGAAAGUCUGGGUUGGGGGGCAAGAACAGUGAGGGAGGAAUAGUGCAGAGGGAGCCUUUCUUUUUGAAGCCAGUGGGGAGAUGAAGCUCUUGGAAAGGAGCCGGGGCUGUCAUAUUUCUGGCCCAUUGUAAAGCCUAAGGCAGUUUGGCUAAACAUCAAAAUGUGGGGGCGUUUCUUUGAAUUAAGUUUUAUUGCACAGAAAACAUAUAGGAGGCAUUCUAUUAUGAAUUUUGAAAGUGUUAUCUCCUUUUUUCUUUUCUUUUUAAAAAGUGUGUGCGUGUGCGUGCGUGUGUGUGCGUGCGUGUGCGUGUGUGCGUGUGCGUGCGUGUGCGUGCGUGUGCGUGCGUGUGCGUGUGCGUGUGCGUGUGUGUGCGUGUGCGUGUGCGUGUGCGUGUGUGGCACGUGUCAGAGGAUAACUUUGUUGGAAUCAUUCUCUCCUUCCACUUUUAUGUGGGUUCCAGGCAUCACACUCACGUUGUGGCACGCACACUGAGUACUUCCACUCACAGGAAACCACCUAGAUGGCCCUUAUCUCUUCCUUUUGACUCAAGAGUUCUAGCAGGAGCAGCGUCUUGGAUGCAGACAGCUUGGUAUAGGCAGAGAACAUCUCUGAGCCGUGUAGGGAUUUUAACAAACUGGGAGCAGGGGCCAGGGGAAAUACUCCCUAUAUACGGCAGUAGACUUCAUAGUACCUUGAUUCAGAGCACCUAGUCAAAAGCCAGUACUGGGCAUGACCUGUAGUUCUCUCUGGAUGCUUCCCACUGCGAGAGAUUUUCAGAGUGGAAACCAGACCAUUGUUUUAGUCAUGGCUUUAGAGAAAUACUUUUGAUAAGAUAACAGCUUCCUUCCUUCCUUCCUUCCUUCCUUCCUUCCUUCCUUCCUUCCUUCCUUCCUUCCUUCCCUUACAUUUGAUACAGGGUCUCAUGCGGCUAAGCUAGCCUCUAACUAGCAAUCUUCCUGCUUCAGCCUCCUGAGAGUGAGUGCUACCAUGCCUGUCUACUUCAAUGUUUUGUUUUAGCUUUAUUUAUGUGUAUUGUUUAUUUAUGUGUAUGAAUGGAUGUUUAUAUAUAUAUGUAUAUAUGUAUACAUAUAUAUAUAUAUAUAUGUAAUACACACACACACACACACACGUAUGCCCGUCUGGUGCCUGAGGAGGUUACAGGAACUGGAGUUCCACAUGGUUUCGAGCCACCAUGUGGGUGCUGGGAAUUGAACCCCAGUCCUGUGCAGAGCAGCGAGUGUUCUUAACCCCUACAGUCGUCUCUCCCACGUCAGCUUUCUAAAUGUGAUGCCAUUACUACAGUGAGCAAAAGGGGACAAUUGGAGUUUAUUCCUUAAAAAACAACACCACCACCAACAAAAAACCAACCUUUCAAGUGUAUCUAAUCAUAGUUGCAAGCAGAAAUCAGGGCAAGACCUUUCAAAAAGCUAACGCAGUGUUAUUUCCACUCGUGACACUUCUUUUGCUAAUUCAUUCUCAGCCUUUGGUUUGAUACAGGAAUGUAACAUGUCCACAGAGACGGGAUAGUCAAACGGACCCCCGUGGACUCAUCACCGCCUUCAGUAGCUGUAAACUCUUGGUCAUCUUUUCUGUUCUUUUUUUUUUCUCAUGCCGGUGCCCUCCACAUUACUGUGAAGAAGAUUCCAGUCAUUGUACAUUUUUACCCAUUAAGUAUUUCAAUAUGCAUCCCUAAGAGAUAAGAAUCCUUCCUCUAACAUUUUAUUAGGGGAAAUUGGAAGCCUGCAGCCAAGUUGGAAGCCGUGCACGCAGUUGGUUGUACUGCUUUGUUGUGCAGACGCCCAUCUGUUCAUCCAUCCAUCAGCCCUCCUGGUUUGAAAAAUGCAUUUCAGAGUAAGUUGCAGACAUCUUGCAGACUCCCCUUUAAGCACUCCAACAUGCAUAUUAUAAGCUAGAGUUUAAUAUCUGUUUAUGACUUUCUUCCCACUGAAUACAACAUUUACCUCACCCAGACGCACAUCUGAAGUACACAUUGGCUGCUUUUUGACAGAUGUAACCCACACCCCUAUUGAGGCAGAAUUUUACCAUCAGUCCAGAAAGUUCCUUUUUGCCUCUUCCUACUCAAUUCCCACCAACACUCAUAAGCCAGCCUUGUUUUCUGCGUAUGGAUGUACAGAAGUGCUUUGGAGUCGUCGUCUUGUCUGUUGGCACAGCAGGCACACGCCCCAUCACCACGGUGCCACACUCACUCUGCCCCUACACUGCUCUUUGAUUUGCCCUCCCCUCUCUACCUUGUUUCAGGCUUCUACAGCAUUUCCAAGGUUUAAUACGGGACUUGGUAUUUCUAGCCCCAUUUCUUCCCCCAGAGCAGGCUUUUGUAGUCCCUUGAGCAUGGCUCAAGAUUAUCUUGGUCACCACUGGCCUGGCCUUUCCAGGAAAGGUCCUUUGUGGGUAUAGGCAGCGGUGACUCUGUUCUGCGAUUACUUAUUCCAUGCUUGGCCAAUGUGACAGGGUUUGGGGUAGAUACCCAAGGGGCCCCACCCUUUUAGAGGUAAAGGGGAGCCCUCUUUAUGGGGGGAGUGACUAUGUGAGGGGGACCAGGAGAGGGGGCAGUGUUUGGAAUGUAAAUAAAUAAACAAACAAACUAAACAACCAAACUGAAAACUUUCCAUAAAUAACAAUAAAAUAAGCAUGUAGUCUUAAAAUGCUAGCAUAGCUAUGUGUGAAUCACAUCAAAGAGGAGUAAAAAGAUAUUUGUACCUUCUUUUCCCUCAAACUAUCCAAUUAUUUGGUAAUACAGAUGUCAGAGAAUCCCUGUCCUCUGAAACUCCAGUGGCACUGGGUUGACUGGCUUGCCCCACUCUUCCCCUGACCCUGUCUCUGGGCUUCUGGAUAAUGGUUUCUCUCCUUGUUAUCUCUGGCCCACUGAGUUGUUUGUGUGGGGGUCACCUCCUUCCUAGAUCCAUGUCUCUUUUCAAGCUCCCUUUCCUCCCAAAGUGCUUCUUCUCUCUAGAUUUUGCUGAAACCCACGCUCAAAAGAAUUUUAGAGUAGACAACAGAUGUUUCUAAAGGUUUAGGAAUUUGCAGGUUUGCAUCAAAGGCAUGUAAAAGGUAUUUUAAAUGUUUAAUUUCAGAAAUUCCUAUAUUUAAAGAACCUUGUUUUUCAAAUCAGUUUUGUUUUUGCUUUUUUGUCUUCCUUUAUUAGAAGGUUUCCUUACUCUGGCAUGGCCAGAUUAAAGGUAAGUCUAACCUUAGGCAAGAUGGGUUUAAGGUGGCCUUCCUACCUGAAAAGUCCAUUUAACUAAGUAUUCCUCACAGGUUAGCCCAAUAUUGGGUUUUUAGUUAAUUCCAGAUGUAGUCAAGUUGACAAGGAAGAAUAGCCAUCACAAGACCACCCCUUGCCAAGUUGACACAUAAUCCUAUCUCCAUAUCACACUUAAUUUUCAAAGGAAAACAUGAACCAGGUUAUAAUCACGCCUAAUUUGACAUAGCUAUCCCAUGUACAACUGCAGGUGCACUAUAUAGUUCAGAAUAGGUGUCAAUAUCCUUUGGGCGAUAUUCUUUUAGUAUCUUAAAACUUCAUAUGAUAACCACUGAUAUUUUCUCAACCAUCUUAUUUUUACGGUAAUGUUACUGUGAAGAGAUACCAUGACCAAUGCAACUUGCAAAAGAAAGCAUUAAAUUGCUUACAGUUUUAGGGGAUUGGUCCAUAAUCAUCACGGUAGGAAGAAGACAGGCAUGGCACUGGGGAAGUAGCUGAAAGCUUUCCAUCUUGAUUUAUAUGCAGCAGACAGAGUGACCAAGAGAAAGAUAGAGACAGAGAGACAGAGGAAGACAGAAAGAAACAGAGAGACAGACAGAGCCUGGGCCUGGUAAGGCCUUUCGGAACCUCGAAGCCCACCCCCAGCAACACACCUCUUCCAACAAGGCCACACGUCCUACUCCUUCCCAAAACCGUUCCACUUCCUGGUGACUGAGCAUUCAAAUAUAUGAGCCUAUGGGUCUUUUCUCUUUUAAACCAUCACGGUAAAUGUGGAAACCUUUUGUACAGUAAGUGUAUAAAAACAACCUAAAUAUACAUCAAUGGCUAAAUGUAUAAAGAAAUACACAUAUGAAUGCACAUAGAUGUACACAAAUAUUAUUCACUUAUAGAAAAAGAACUGUUGCUGGGUGUGGUGGCUUAUGUCUGUAAUCCUACAACAUGAGACUAUCUACAACAACAACAACAACAACAACAACAACAACAACAACACCCUCAAAUCCCCAACACACACACACACACACACACACACACACACACACACACACAUCUUAAAAUAUCCCAAGUAUAUGGUAGAUACUUAAUAAUUACUUGCCAAACCUGAAUUAUUGUUUUUGUUUAAUAGGCUGAUAAAUGUAUUAUUUUUUGUUUAAUAUGCUCACAAGUAUCUAUUGACUUAUAAAUCUAGCCAUGGGAUGUCUGGUUCCAAUUUAGUUGACAUUUUCAUUUUCUGCACGGUGACAGUGAGUCUAAACUGUGGGGGAGAGCCGUGCCAGGACAACCAUGUGAAAUAUUUCUUCUGCUGUUUGACAGCAUAUUGGCUCAAAGGAAUGGUGUCCCCAAACCUGUAACCAAAGGAGGUGUGCAGGCUAGAUUUACAUUGGCUUGACACAAACUAUAGUUAUCUGAAAGGAGGGACCUUCAACUGAGAAAAUGCUUCUGAAGGUCAAGCUGUGGCCCAGCCUUGUAGAGCAGUUUCUUCAUUAGUGACUGAUGGGGGAGGGCCCAGCCCAUUGUAGGUGGUGCCACCUCUGGGUUUGUAGUCCGGGGCUCUACAAGAAAGCAGGCCAAGCAAGCCAUUGGGAGCAAGUCGUUAGGCAGCACCUCUCCCUCCCCCCACCGCCAUGGCCUCUGUCUCAUCUCCUCCCUCCAGGUUCCUGUGCUGUUUGAGUUCCUGUUCCAGUUUCCUUCAGUGAUGGACUACGGUGUGGAAGUGUGAGCCCAGAAAACCCUUUCCUCCCCAAUUUGUUUUUUGGUCACAAUGUUUCUAGAAACAUCCAAGAGACUUGGAUGGACUUUUGCCUCAAAGUAGGGUUUGAACCUCACACUCCAGUCCCCUAGCAAUCCUGGAAAUGUAAGCAUUAGCUUUGCUCCACCUUAGGCCUUUAAAUCCCAUGUACAAAGGUGGAGUUACCAGGGCGUUGUUGAAUCCAACAGGGGAGAAGUGCUUCUUCCUGAUCCAAAGAAGCAGUUUACCUUUGGCCCUGGGUGGAGACAUGGCAUUCUGACCUACUCCAAACAUCACAGCAUUACAUACUAGUGUCUCUCUUCCCUUGAGAAUUAAUCCAGCUGAGCCUGUCAAUCACAGGUGUGGGGACAAGCCCUACCCCCUUUCCUCCAGUAAGGCCAAUUCUCCUGAAGACAGGCUAAGGAGAGGGGAGGAGUAAUUAUCCUCUAAUGAGAUGAUGAGUUUACUCUUACCCCCAAAUCCACGCAAUUGCUGGCAGAUCUUCCAUAAUGUAACACCGCAGAGCUGGUCUGCUCUUCUCAGUCAGUAACACAUAACUUUUUCUUCUCUUAUCUCUGACCAAAGUCUGGGUAGGCCUUCCCUGAUACUCGAAAAUUCCCCAGUCAUAUUCCCACCCAGCUGCUGUUUGUCUGUCAUGUGGCUGCUUCGCUGAUCUCCGAUCUCCGUUGCCCCCUGUCCCUUCCAGCUCCACGUCUUCCUCUCUCCAGCUUCCUGCCCCGACUCCUGGCAGCUUCUGUGCCCUGUUGUUUUGCAAACUCUAACAAAGUUGUUCUUGCGCUUUCUGCUGAAUCCAUUUCUAAAUCCUUUUAUUAACGAGCCUAAGACCUGGGAGAAACACAAAGAUUAGCAGAGCCCGGAUGACUCUGCUUUGAGGAAAUGCCGUUUGGUGACUGCCCCACAUAAGUUUCUAGUUCCCGUCACAUGAAAUCUGAUUCUCCCGAGUUUUGACGUCCUUCCAAAACACCAAACGUCUCCAAACCUCAGUAAGUACAUUAUUACCAGACCACAUUUCUCCAUGUGAAUUCGCCAACUGUAUGAGAAUCUGAGACCAAAUUUUGACCAGUAGAGUAAGCCCAGAACCCUCAUGUUGGGAGUAACCCUCUGAGGGACUCCCCGCUGGUGUGCUUGCUUCCCAGAACUUGUUAGGGCUUUGAAAACUUCUGCAGAAUUAAAUAAAACUUUCUUGCCCAA